CCCUGCAGGACCUGCGGAAGACGGCCUACAGCCUGGACGCCCGGACGGAGACCCUCCUGCUGCAGGCCGAGCGCCGGGCCCUGUGUGCCUGCUGGCCGGCUGGGCGCUGAGGACCUGGAGCCAGCACUUUCCUUCAUCAAUAAACACCUGGCCCGGCA
This is a non-coding RNA of Vicugna pacos (alpaca), 158 nucleotides long. Lineage: Eukaryota; Metazoa; Chordata; Mammalia; Artiodactyla; Camelidae. The record is from RefSeq and is a predicted model, not a curated record.